RNAcentral lists this ribosomal RNA (540 nucleotides) under Alpheopsis yaldwyni. Its description in RNAcentral is "partial large subunit ribosomal RNA". It matches the Rfam family "Bacterial large subunit ribosomal RNA", at positions 1819 to 2625 of the family's 2925-position model. Lineage: Eukaryota; Metazoa; Arthropoda; Malacostraca; Decapoda; Alpheidae. The record is from RNAcentral.
GUCCUCGCGGAGUUUUAGUUGUGAGGUCUGGCCUGCCCACUGAAUAUUCGUUUAAAGGGCCGCGGUAUUCUGACCGUGCGAAGGUAGCAUAGUAAUUAGUCUUUUAAUUGAAGGCUUGAAUGAACGGCCGGACGAUGGGGAGCUGUCCUGUUGAAUGUGAUCUAAUUUGACUUCUGUGUGAAAAGGCACAGAUAAUCUAGUGGGACGAUAAGACCCUAUAAAACUUUAUAAAUUUGACUCGGUUCUUUGAAUUUUUAAAGGGGGGCUGGGUUUGAUUAUUAUAUUGGGGUGAUAGAGUUAAUAUUUUAAUAAACUGACUUUAAAAAUAAAAUAAAUCUGUUUAGAUGAUGACCCUUCUUUGUGGGUUGUAAGAUUAAGUUACUUUAGGGAUAACAGCGUGAUUUUUUCUGAGAGUUCUUAUCGACGGAGUGAGUUGCGACCUCGAUGUUGAAUUAAAGUUUCCCCCGGGAGCAGAAAUUUGGGCGGUAGGUCUGUUCGACCUGUGAUACUUUACAUGAUUUGAGUUCAAACCGGUGUGAG